UGGGGAAUUUUGGACAAUGGGCGAAAGCCUGAUCCAGCAAUGCCGCGUGUGUGAAGAAGGCCUUCGGGUUGUAAAGCACUUUUGUCCGGAAAGAAAUCCUUGGCUCUAAUACAGUCGGGGGAUGACGGUACCGGAAGAAUAAGCACCGGCUAACUACGUGCCAGCAGCCGCGGUAAUACGUAGGGUGCAAGCGUUAAUCGGAAUUACUGGGCGUAAAGCGUGCGCAGGCGGUUUGCUAAGACCGAUGUGAAAUCCCCGGGCUCAACCUGGGAACUGCAUUGGUGACUGGCAGGCUAGAGUAUGGCAGAGGGGGGUAGAAUUCCACGUGUAGCAGUGAAAUGCGUAGAGAUGUGGAGGAAUACCGAUGGCGAAGGCAGCCCCCUGGGCCAAUACUGACGCUCAUGCACGAAAGCGUGGGGAGCAAACAGGAUUAGAUACCCUGGUAGUCCACGCCCUAAACGAUGUCAACUAGUUGUUGGGGAUUCAUUUCCUUAGUAACGUAGCUAACGCGUGAAGUUGACCGCCUGGGGGAGUACGGUCGCAAGAUUAAAACUUAAAGGAAUUGACGGGGUCAUAGCUGUUUCC
This 585-nucleotide ribosomal RNA is filed under the name uncultured bacterium. RNAcentral's name for it is "partial 16S ribosomal RNA". It matches the Rfam family "Bacterial small subunit ribosomal RNA", at positions 355 to 937 of the family's 1533-position model. The record is from RNAcentral.